MicroRNA precursor from Hucho hucho (huchen), 58 nucleotides. The record is from Ensembl. Lineage: Eukaryota; Metazoa; Chordata; Actinopteri; Salmoniformes; Salmonidae.
UAUGGCUUUCUAUUCCUAUGUGAUUUUUUCUACUGUCACAUAGGGUCCAAAGCCAUUG